AGAGUUUGAUCAUGGCUCAGGGCUAACGCUGGCGGCGUGUCUUAGCCAUGCAAGUCGAGCGGUCCUAUGGGGCGACCUAUAGGAUAGCGGCGGACGGCGGAGUAACACGUAGCUAACUACCCUCCGGACGGGGAUAACCAUUCGAAAGGGUGGCUAAUACCCGAUGGAGUCAUCCGCAAGGGUGAUGAAAGGUGGGCCUCUGUUUACAAGCUCAUGCCGGGGGAGGGGGCUGCGGCCUAUCAGGUAGUUGGUGGGGUAAAGGCCCACCAAGCCUAUGACGGGUAGCCGGCCUGAGAGGGUGACCGGCCCGAGGGACACUGAGACACGGGUCCCACUCCUACGGGAGGCAGCAGGCUAGAAAUUUGGGCAAUGGGGGAAACCCUGACCCAGUGACGCCGCGUGCAGGAAGGAGCCCUUCGGGGUGUAAACUGCUGUCGUGCGGGGCGAAGGGUUUAUAGGCGAAUAGUCUAUAGACUUGACGGUACCGCAGGAGGAAGCCCAGGCUAACCUCGUGCCAGCAGCCGCGGUAAUACGGGGUGGUGAGCGUUGCCCGGAAUUACUGGGUUUAAAGGGGGUGUAGGCGGUCUGGAUAGUCAGGUGUGUAAUCCAAUCGCUCAACGAUUGGACUGCAUCUGAUACUUUCAGGCUAGAGGGCGGUAGAGGAGAGCGGAACUCCCGGUGUAGCGGUGAAAUGCGUAGAUAUCGGGAGGAACGCCGGUGGCGAAGGCGGCUCUCUGGGCCGUUCCUGACGCUGAGGCCCGAAAGCUGGGGGAGCGAAAGGGAUUAGAUACCCCUGUAGUCCCAGCCGUAAACGAUGGGCACUAGGUGUGCCUCUAUAUAGGGGUGUGCCGACGGGAAACCAUUAAGUGCCCCACCUGGGGAGUACGCCCGCAAGGGUGAAACUCAAAGGAAUUGACGG
Molecule: ribosomal RNA, 919 nt
Filed under: uncultured bacterium
Lineage: Bacteria
Description: bacterial SSU rRNA
Rfam family: Bacterial small subunit ribosomal RNA
Source: RNAcentral